RNAcentral lists this unclassified non-coding RNA (264 nucleotides) under plant metagenome. RNAcentral describes it as "partial contains small subunit ribosomal RNA, internal transcribed spacer 1, and 5.8S ribosomal RNA". The record is from RNAcentral.
GUUUCCGUAGGUGAACCUGCGGAAGGAUCAUUAUUGUAUAACCGAGGUGCGAGGGCUGUCGCUGACCCGAAAGGUCGUGCACGCCCAAGUGCCCUCACACACAUCCAUCUCACCCCUAUGUGCACCACCGCGUGGGUCCCCCUUUGGCUUGUUCGGAGGGGGGCUUACGUUUUCACACAAACUCUGUAUGCAGUGUAGAAUGUAUUUUUUGUUUUUGCGAUCACGCAAUCAAUACAACUUUCAACAACGGAUCUCUUGGCUCUC